Molecule: non-coding RNA, 3181 nt
Organism: Macaca mulatta (Rhesus monkey)
Lineage: Eukaryota; Metazoa; Chordata; Mammalia; Primates; Cercopithecidae
Source: RefSeq, a predicted model, not a curated record
GGGAAGAGAUGGAAGUGUCCUAGGGGUGAAUCAGGAAGGGUUUCUGGCCAGAGGUAGUGAGGCUUGGAGCUUCAAGAGGGAAGGGAGAGAGGGUUGUCAGGGCACCGUGCAAGGCUCAGGAGAGAAGACAAGCCAAAGAAGGUUUGAGACAAUCUGAAGCUAUAUGGUGACUGUGAAAUAAAACUGUUUCUCCAUCUUCCCUCAAAUUUUUCAGUAAAAUCUGCCUGCUCCUCAAUAUUUUGUGGAGUGGACUUUGUUUUGGGGCAUUGUGGAACAAGUACUGGGUUCUGUUUCAGGAUUGGCAUAAGAUGAAAAGAGGCUGCCUGCAGCAGGGAACGGACAUGAGCCGCUGACAUGUGGGUCACCAAUGCUGUAUGGCAGCAUCUGUCUCCAUCAAAGCCUGGUUAUUGAUGAUCCAUGAGCCACAAAUUUCUGUCCCUCCCUGCUUUUUUCCCUCCAUUACUUCCUCCAGAUCCAGGUUGUACGUAAAUAAAUAUAGAGGGAAUUUAGUAAAAGUCCAUUUUAGGGUCAAGCCAUACAAUGAUGGGCUAACCAUUGCCUGUCUCUGAGCCACAUAGCCAGGCAGAGCUAAAGCUACAUGGACUAAAGCAGUAACUGCCAGUCACCCCUUGGAGGUCAUCAGCAGGAAGGGCAGAAGAAAUACGUUAAGGCCACAUUUAACAACGUGCAUGAGAAAUCUCUGCACACAGAUCAGUGUUGGGGUGGGUGGGGUGUGGGUGCAAUGUGACAGCAGGAGCGGGGUGUGGCCUCAGGCUUUAUAACCAGACUUGGGUGGUAUAAAUGGGAGGGACAGAGACACACAGCACCUCAUUCUACAGAAGUGCUGCCCAGGUAGAGUAACACUCAGCACCAACCUCUCUGGACUUCUUAUGGGAUUGGUUAGACAACAUGGAAAUAAAGCUGUAAUCAUGGAUUUCGUUCUUUGGGGUAUUGAGCUUCAUUUGCAAGUGCUCAGGUCCAUGGUUAUACACAUAGAUUGCAAAUUUGUGUUGUAACACAUGCCUACCAGAGGACAAAUAAGUAUAUGUCCUGCCGAUGCCUGGUAAGAGGUUUCUUCGUUGACAACAUAUAUGUAGUGAAAUUCUUACUUGCAAUGGAUUAAAUACGUAUUUUGUCUUGGAAAUACUUCGUAGAGUUUUAUUCUCUAAAAUGGUACAGGUUUUAAGUAAGUCACAUACAACCAUCUGAGCGGUGCUUUUCACGUCUGGAUAGAAAGGAGGGGGCUCUUAGGUCAUGCCCUCCUUUUUCAUUGUGGUUAAACUACAAACUAAGUUUUCAUGGAUGUCUAAAAAAUUAUAGCACAUGAUACAAUAUGAGAGCGAGCAGGCUACAAUAGUGACUGCCUUCUUCCAUAAAUUUCAGGGACAGUACUAAGCAAUGUCAUCUUGCUUAUUAUAAAACAGCAGCACAAGGACAAUAAAAUGGGUUUGAAACGAAUGUAUAAGAUAAAGUCUGUCUAUCUGACUAUGCCAAAAUAAAUUAGUCUUCUGAUGCUAAAGUUCAAUCUUAGAGGCAAUAUAUAAAAUUUAGAAUGGAAAACUAAACAGGGCUCAUUACUAGGCGAAGCAACCGCCAUUUAUGUUUCUUUUUAUGAGCACCCCUGGUCUAUUUUCCUUCCAGUUGUAAAAGCUGCAUCCUAAUCCAGCCCGGGAGCACAGCACUGGCCCAGAGACUCCGAAAGACCCCUCUUAGAUGACAUUUUGUGUCUUCUCAAAGGUGUCCACACUCUCCCCACCAUCUGCACAGUAUACCCGCUCACAACCUCAGGCUGAGGACAUCUUCCCUUCCCCAACUCACUGGCUGUCUCUCAACGGCCUCUCUCACUCUCCCCUUCCUACUGAGACCCUCCUAAGCAGGGAAUCAUAAAACAGUAAAAAUAGCCUGAAAAUGGUCCAAGAGGUCUAGUUAUCCUCCAGCUCCUGUCUCAAGUCCUGGUUCCCCAGUUUCAAGCAGGCAAGUUUGUCUAAGGAGCAAUUUCAUAGCUGAGAGGCUUUCUGUGCAAAGCUGCUUCAAUCCCGGCCCGCAGCCAUUGUUGUGUGAGCUCCAUCUACUGAGCAGCCUCUGGAGGUCUCUCCUGAAAGAAGGCCCGCGUGUUUGAGGCACACUGUUUUCAGCCAUGCCUGGGGACCCCAUCACUCUGCUUGGCCUUUCUCCAGAAUGCAAUGGGUACUGUGCGGACAUCUUUAUGUUGGCAGAACAAAUCAGUUCAGAGAAACACUAAAGUAAAUAACAAUUUCCUCAAAGACAAGAUACAAAGCGUCUUUGGUUGGGUCCAAGUAAGAGUUUUAACACAGGGGAUGAAGUGUCUCCUUAAAGGGGUGAACUAGCUGGACUGGUCCCACCCCAUCCACCCAGGGCUGUCGCGUCCCUCCCCCGGCUGCACUGCUGCCAUCUAGUGGUGAGACAGGAGAACGAAGAAAGGCAGAUUAAGCUUCGGAGAUUCCCAGCCCUUCUUUCCACCGGGACUGGGAAAAGGAGAGCAGGGAGGAGGGGUGAAGGCGAGAAAGGAGCACGUACUCGGCUGCCCACUGGAUGAGGUCCUGCGGCUGCGCCCGAAUGGCGGCUUUGGCAAACUCCUUCAGCAUCUUCGGCAGCUCCGGCGGGAUGCAUGUUGGCUUAUCUGUCUGAGCCAUUGAUUGGUUGGCCUAUUCUCAGAAGAAAAAUCCCUAAGAUGAAAACUUCGACUCAUACGAUGAGAGCAAUCCUGGACAGGAGGUCACCCAGCCUCUGUUUGACAUUCAAUUUUGGGGACUCUGCAAGACAAAUGCAUUCUAUGCUUACACAACGCCAAGGUUAGAAAGCCGUCUGCUAACCCCUACUUUUUGUUUUAAAUACUUAUGUCCUUUACAUAAAAAUUACACAGCCUUGUUCAUUUAAAAAGUGGAGGUCAGCAAAAAAUUCCCUAAUGAUAUCACCCCAAAAUAUUGGAUGUCUCCUUCCAGAAUUUUUCAGUAUAAAUAUAUAUGUUUGUAAAAUAAAAAAAUAAGAUUAUACAAAACAGCUUAUUUACUCAAAACUAUAUAAUGAACAUCCUUCCAUGUCGUCCAGCUCUUAUUAGCUGGGUAAGAAUUGUAGCAAAAUUUACUCUGAACCCUCUGUGAAUUGACAUUAGGCCAUUUCCACAUAAAAAUUAUCAUUAAACAGCCGUUUGAUGAGCGUC